AAACUUACCUGGCCGGGAAGCUCCGGUGAUCAAGAAGGUCGGAGUUCCGUAGUGAGGCUUCAUCAUUGCACUUUAGAUUGGAGUUGACCUGCGGGGCAACUUCAAACGAAGUUAGCCCACGGCUUAAUUUUUGUGUUUGGAGGAGCGUUCGCGCCCUCCC
This is a small nuclear RNA of Strongyloides venezuelensis, 160 nucleotides long. It matches the Rfam family "U1 spliceosomal RNA". From Rfam's summary of the family: U1 is a small nuclear RNA (snRNA) component of the spliceosome (involved in pre-mRNA splicing). Its 5' end forms complementary base pairs with the 5' splice junction, thus defining the 5' donor site of an intron. There are significant differences in sequence and secondary structure between metazoan and yeast U1 snRNAs, the latter being much longer (568 nucleotides as compared to 164 nucleotides in human). Lineage: Eukaryota; Metazoa; Nematoda; Chromadorea; Rhabditida; Strongyloididae. The record is from Rfam.